Molecule: non-coding RNA, 3626 nt
Filed under: Homo sapiens (human)
Lineage: Eukaryota; Metazoa; Chordata; Mammalia; Primates; Hominidae
Source: RNAcentral
GUUGACCCCCUGUUUACAGUGCCAGCGCCACCACCGCCGAUUUCCAGCAGUCUCACGCCUCAGAUUCUACCCUCCUACUUUUCCCCAUCUUCAUCCAAUAUUGCAGCACCGGUUGAACAGCUUUUGGUUCGGACUCGUUCUGUGGGUGUCAAUACAUGUGAAGUUGGAGUAGUGACAGAGCCAGAGUGUCUUGGGCCCUGUGAACCUGGGACCAGUGUGAAUUUGGAAGGGAUCGUGUGGCAUGAAACAGAAGAAGGUGUCCUAGUGGUCAAUGUCACGUGGAGGAACAAAACGUACGUGGGAACCCUACUGGACUGCACCAAGCACGACUGGGCCCCUCCCAGGUUUUGUGAGUCACCGACAAGUGACCUGGAGAUGAGAGGGGGCCGGGGCAGAGGGAAGAGAGCGAGGUCUGCUGCUGCUGCCCCGGGCUCCGAGGCCAGCUUCACAGAGUCCAGAGGGCUGCAGAAUAAGAACAGAGGGGGGGCCAAUGGGAAAGGGAGGCGGGGCAGCCUCAAUGCCAGCGGACGAAGGACACCCCCAAAUUGUGCUGCUGAGGAUAUCAAAGCCAGCCCUUCCUCCACCAACAAAAGGAAAAACAAGCCUCCAAUGGAGCUGGACCUGAACUCCAGCUCUGAGGACAAUAAGCCUGGAAAGCGUGUCCGCACAAAUUCCAGAAGCACUCCCACUACCCCUCAAGGGAAACCAGAGACUACUUUUUUGGACCAAGGCUGCUCUUCUCCAGUGUUAAUCGACUGUCCCCACCCAAACUGCAACAAAAAGUACAAGCACAUUAACGGCCUGAGGUACCACCAGGCUCAUGCACACUUAGACCCAGAAAACAAGCUGGAGUUCGAGCCUGACAGUGAGGACAAGAUCUCGGACUGUGAGGAAGGAUUGAGUAAUGUGGCACUUGAAUGCAGUGAGCCAAGCACAAGUGUAUCUGCUUAUGACCAGUUGAAGGCACCGGCAUCCCCUGGUGCUGGAAACCCACCUGGGACCCCAAAGGGAAAGAGAGAGCUGAUGAGCAAUGGCCCAGGUUCCAUUAUUGGUGCUAAAGCUGGGAAGAAUUCUGGCAAAAAGAAGGGCCUUAACAAUGAACUGAACAACCUUCCAGUAAUCUCCAACAUGACGGCUGCGUUAGACAGUUGCUCGGCAGCAGACGGCAGUUUGGCUGCUGAGAUGCCUAAACUGGAAGCAGAAGGAUUAAUUGACAAGAAAAAUUUAGGAGAUAAAGAAAAGGGCAAAAAAGCUACCAACUGCAAAACGGACAAAAACCUCUCUAAACUGAAAAGUGCCCGGCCCAUUGCCCCUGCCCCAGCCCCCACUCCCCCGCAGCUAAUCGCUAUACCCACUGCAACCUUUACAACGACCACCACUGGGACAAUACCCGGACUGCCCUCCCUCACAACAACUGUUGUUCAGGCUACACCAAAGAGUCCUCCGUUAAAACCCAUUCAACCAAAGCCCACAAUUAUGGGAGAGCCCAUCACCGUGAACCCAGCUCUGGUGUCACUCAAAGACAAAAAGAAAAAGGAGAAGCGAAAGCUAAAGGACAAAGAAGGGAAAGAGACGGGAAGCCCAAAAAUGGAUGCCAAGCUGGGGAAACUAGAGGACUCCAAGGGGGCCAGCAAAGAUUUACCUGGGCAUUUUUUAAAGGAUCAUCUCAACAAGAAUGAAGGGCUGGCAAAUGGACUGUCGGAGUCUCAGGAGAGCCGCAUGGCCAGUAUCAAAGCUGAGGCCGAUAAGGUUUACACUUUCACAGACAACGCUCCCAGCCCUUCCAUAGGGAGCGCCUCGAGGCUGGAAUGCAGCACUUUGGUGAACGGGCAGGCACCAAUGGCACCUCUGCAUGUGUUGACCCAGAAUGGGGCAGAGAGUUCAGCUGCAAAGACAAGCAGCCCGGCCUAUUCAGACAUAUCUGAUGCUGCUGACGAUGGUGGUUCUGACAGCAGGUCGGAGGGUAUGAGAUCAAAGGCCAGUUCCCCAUCAGAUAUUAUUUCUAGUAAGGACAGUGUUGUAAAAGGGCAUUCUUCAACUACAGCACAAUCAUCUCAACUGAAAGAGUCCCAUUCUCCCUAUUACCACAGCUAUGAUCCUUAUUAUUCUCCAAGUUACAUGCACCCUGGGCAGGUCGGUGCCCCUGCAGCUGGAAAUAGUGGGAGCACGCAGGGAAUGAAGAUCAAGAAGGAGUCUGAGGAAGAUGCUGAAAAGAAAGACAAGGCAGAGCAGUUAGAUUCUAAGAAAGUGGACCACAAUUCUGCAUCCUUACAGCCUCAGCACCAGUCGGUGAUCACACAAAGACAUCCUGCCCUGGCUCAGUCACUUUAUUAUGGCCAGUAUGCAUAUGGGCUCUAUAUGGACCAGAAGUCUCUGAUGGCCACCAGCCCUGCCUAUAGACAGCAGUAUGAGAAGUACUAUGAGGACCAGAGGCUGGCAGAGCAGAAAAUGGCCCAGACUGGGAGAGGAGACUGUGAAAGGAAAAGUGAGCUCCCCUUGAAAGAGCUGGGCAAGGAGGAAACUAAACAGAAAAAUAUGCCAUCGGCCACAAUCUCAAAAGCUCCCUCUACUCCGGAGCCUAACAAAAACCAUUCUAAACUAGGGCCAUCAGUGCCUAAUAAAACUGAGGAGACAGGUAAAUCGCAGCUUCUCUCCAAUCACCAGCAGCAGCUUCAGGCCGACAGCUUCAAAGCUAAGCAGAUGGAAAACCACCAGCUUAUUAAGGAGGCUGUAGAAAUGAAGUCUGUCAUGGACUCUAUGAAGCAGACAGGUGUAGACCCAACCUCGAGAUUUAAACAAGACCCAGAUUCAAGAACAUGGCAUCAUUAUGUAUACCAGCCCAAAUAUCUGGAUCAGCAAAAGUCAGAAGAACUUGAUAGAGAGAAGAAAUUAAAAGAGGAUAGUCCGAGGAAAACUCCUAAUAAAGAGAGUGGUGUGCCCAGCCUUCCUGUAUCGUUAACAAGCAUUAAAGAGGAGCCCAAAGAGGCCAAGCAUCCUGAUUCUCAAUCAAUGGAGGAGAGCAAGCUGAAAAAUGAUGAUCGAAAGACUCCUGUGAACUGGAAGGACUCUCGGGGAACAAGAGUGGCUGUCUCCUCACCCAUGAGUCAGCAUCAGUCAUACAUACAGUACUUGCAUGCUUAUCCUUACCCACAGAUGUACGACCCCAGCCAUCCUGCAUACCGGGCUGUUUCUCCCGUCCUAAUGCACAGUUAUCCUGGGGCAUAUCUCUCUCCAGGAUUUCAUUAUCCUGUUUAUGGGAAGAUGUCAGGGAGAGAAGAGACAGAGAAAGUCAAUACCAGCCCUAGCGUCAACACGAAAACAACCACUGAAUCUAAAGCACUGGAUUUGCUCCAGCAGCAUGCUAACCAAUACCGCAGCAAGUCUCCUGCUCCUGUGGAAAAGGCUACAGCUGAGCGGGAACGGGAGGCAGAAAGGGAAAGGGAUCGCCACUCCCCCUUCGGCCAGCGGCACCUGCACACGCACCACCACACCCACGUUGGCAUGGGUUACCCGCUAAUCCCGGGUCAAUAUGACCCUUUUCAAGGCUUGACCUCUGCUGCCCUUGUUGCCUCUCAGCAGGUGGCUGCCCAGGCAUCUGCAUCUGGAAUGUUUCCUGGACAAAGAAG